AAUGGAACAAUGUAUGCAAGGGAAGUUGGCAAAAUGGAUCCGUAACCUUGGGAAAAGGAUUGGCUCUAAGGGCUGGGCAUAGGGGUCCUAGUACCGAACACAUCGGUUGCUGGUGUAUUGCUCGAGCUGUUCUCAUGGUGAGAGUAGGUUUCCACGUGCCAGCUAGAGGAUGGACUAGGAAUGACUCCCUUUGAGGCCUUUCUCAGGUAAUAAACAGUCGAUUUAGAACUAAUACGGACAAGGCAAAUCUGAUAGGUUAAUUAAAACAAUGUAUUGUGAUGGUCCCUACGAAUGCUCAGGCAAUAUGAUUUCUGCCCAGUGUUCUGAAUGGAUUAACAAGAUUCCCACUUUUCUUGUUUACUACCCAGUGAAACUAAAGGCAAGGGAACGGGCUUGGCAGAAUCAGUGGGGAAAGAAGACCCUAUUGAGCUUGACCCUAGUCAGACUUUGUGAAAUGACUUGAUAGGUUUAGGAUAAGUGGGAGCUAUUGGGUGAAAUUGAAAUACCACUAGUUUUAACUUUAUUUUAGUUAUUUUGUGAAUCGAAGGUGGGGCCCAACCCUUCUUUUUGGACAUAAGGCCGGCUUCGACCGGUCGAUCUGGGUAGAAGACAUUGUUAUGUAGAGAGUUUAGUUGAGACAACAAAUAUUCUAAAAUAUAACGUAGGUGUCCAGUGAUGAGCUCAAUGAGAACAAAAAUAUCGUGUGGAAUAAAAGGGUAAAAGCUCAUUUGAUUUUGAUUUUCAGUAUUAAUACGAACCUUCAACGCAUGGCUUAUUGAUACUUUAGACAUUCAGAAUUUGAAGGUAGAGGUGUCAGAAAAGUGACCACAGGUAUAACUGGCUUGUCCCAGCCAAUCGUUCAUAGCGACGUUGCUUUUUGAUCAUUCGAUGUCAACUCUUCCUAUCAUUGUGAAGCAGAAUUCACCAAGUGUUGGAUUGUUCACCCACUAAUAGGGAAUGUGAGCUGGGUUUAGAUCAUCAUGAGACAGGUUAGAUUUACCCUACUGAUGAUCGCGUCGCGUUGCAUCGCAAUAGUAAUUCAACCUAGUAUGAGAGGAACUGUUGAUUUGCACAAUUAGUCAUUGCGCUUGGUUGAAAAGCCAGUGGCACGAAGCUACCCUGUAUUGAAUUAUCAUUGAACGCCUCUAAGUUAAAAUCUAGGCUAGAAGCGACGCACGCACUCAUCGCCAUAUUGCUGACCCGCAAUAGGGCCUUCGGUCCCCAAAGGCACCUGUUGUAGGUGCAUGACUAUAGAGCUAUAGUUGCAGACGCCUUUGUAACAGGCCAAUUUUGGGGCUAGUUAGAAAAGUGGUUUCAAAACCAGUAACCCAAGGUCGAAGAAAUUAUUU
RNAcentral lists this non-coding RNA (1349 nucleotides) under Gossypium hirsutum (cotton). RNAcentral's name for it is "Eukaryotic large subunit ribosomal RNA". It matches the Rfam family "Eukaryotic large subunit ribosomal RNA", at positions 1889 to 3401 of the family's 3401-position model. Lineage: Eukaryota; Viridiplantae; Streptophyta; Magnoliopsida; Malvales; Malvaceae. The record is from Rfam by way of RNAcentral.